ACUCCUACGGGAGGCAGCAGUGGGGAAUUUUGGACAAUGGGGGAAACCCUGAUCCAGCAAUGCCGCGUGUGUGAAGAAGGCCUUCGGGUUGUAAAGCACUUUUGUCAGGAACGAAACGGUGGGGGCUAAUACCUCCUGCUAAUGACGGUACCUGAAGAAUAAGCACCGGCUAACUACGUGCCAGCAGCCGCGGUAAUAC
RNAcentral lists this ribosomal RNA (199 nucleotides) under uncultured bacterium. RNAcentral's name for it is "partial 16S ribosomal RNA". It matches the Rfam family "Bacterial small subunit ribosomal RNA", at positions 335 to 526 of the family's 1533-position model. The record is from RNAcentral.